GACGAACGCUGGCGGCGUGCCUAAUACAUGCCAGUAGAACGCUGAAGGAGGAGCUUGCUUCUCUGGAUGAGUUGCGAACGGGUGAGUAGCGCGUAGGUAACCUGCCUGGUAGCGGGGGAUAACUAUUGGAAACGAUAGCUAAUACCGCAUAAGAGUAGAUGUUGCAUGACAUUUGCUUAAAAGGUGCAAUUGCAUCACUACCAGAUGGACCUGCGUUGUAUUAGCUAGUUGGUGGGGUAACGGCUCACCAAGGCGACGAUACAUAGCCGACCUGAGAGGGUGAUCGGCCACACUGGGACUGAGACACGGCCCAGACCCCUACGGGAGGCAGCAGUAGGGAAUCUUCGGCAAUGGACGGAAGUCUGACCGAGCAACGCCGCGGGAGUGAAGAAGGGUUUCGGAUCGUAAAGCUCGGUUGUAAGAGAAGAAAGAGUGUGAGAGUGGAAAGUUCACACUGUGACGGUAUCUUACCAGAAAGGGACGGCUAACUACGUG
Molecule: ribosomal RNA, 495 nt
Filed under: uncultured bacterium
Lineage: Bacteria
Description: partial 16S ribosomal RNA
Rfam family: Bacterial small subunit ribosomal RNA
Source: RNAcentral